Molecule: ribosomal RNA, 440 nt
Filed under: uncultured bacterium
Lineage: Bacteria
Description: partial 16S ribosomal RNA
Rfam family: Bacterial small subunit ribosomal RNA
Source: RNAcentral
CCUACGGGUGGCUGCAGUAGGGAAUAUUGCUCAAUGGGGGCAACCCUGAAGCAGCAACGCCGCGUGGAGGAAGAAGGUUUUAGGAUUGUAAACUCCUUUUGUGAGAGAAGAUAAUGACGGUAUCUCACGAAUAAGCAUCGGCUAACUCCGUGCCAGCAGCCGCGGUAAUACGGAGGGAGCAAGAGUUACUCGGAAUCACUGGGCGUAAAGGGUGUGCAGGCGGGCUUGUAAGUCCGAUGUGAAAACCUGUAGCUUAACUACAGAACUGCAUUUGAAACUAUGAGUCUAGAGUGAGGGAGAGGUAGGUGGAAUUCUUGGUGUAGAGGUAAAAUGCGUAGAUAUCAAGAGGAAUACUCAUUGCGAAGGCGGCCUACUGGAACAUAACUGACGCUCAUGCACGAAAGCGUGGGGAGCGAACAGGAUUAGAUACCCUUGUAGUC